GAUGAACGCUAGCUACAGGCUUAACACAUGCAAGUCGAGGGCCCGGCGCACGGGUGAGUAACACGUAUCCAACCUGCCCUUUACUCGGGGAUAGCUUUUCGAAUGAAAGAUUAAUACCCGAUAUAAAGGAUGGGGAUGCGUUCCAUUAGGUUGUUGGUGAGGUAACGGCCCACCAAGCCUUCGCUGGAUAGGGGUUCUGAGAGGAAGGUCCCCCAGAUUGGAACGGAGGCACGGUCCAAACGCGUACGGGGAGCAGCAGGGAGGAAGAAUGGGGAAGGGGCGUUAGCCUGAACCAGCAAAGUAGCGUGAAGGAUGAAGGGUUAUGGGUCGUAAACUUCUUAUAAAUAAGAAUAUGUAUUAUAUGAAUAAGGAUCGGCUAACUCCGUGCCAGCAGCCGCGGUAAUAC
Molecule: ribosomal RNA, 406 nt
Filed under: uncultured bacterium
Lineage: Bacteria
Description: partial 16S ribosomal RNA
Rfam family: Bacterial small subunit ribosomal RNA
Source: RNAcentral